Molecule: ribosomal RNA, 483 nt
Filed under: uncultured bacterium
Lineage: Bacteria
Description: partial 16S ribosomal RNA
Rfam family: Bacterial small subunit ribosomal RNA
Source: RNAcentral
GACGAACGCUGGCGGCGUGCUUAACACAUGCAAGUCGAACGAUGAAGCCGGAGCUUGCUCCGGUGGAUUAGUGGCGAACGGGUGAGUAACACGCGAGCAAUCUGCCCUUGACUCUGGGAUAACUGCGGGAAACUGUAGCUAAUACCGGAUACGACACCUUGGGGCAUCCCAGGGUGUGGAAAGAAUUUCGGUCAAGGAUGAGCUCGCGGCCUAUCAGCUAGUUGGUGAGGUAAUGGCUCACCAAGGCGACGACGGGUAGCCGGCCUGAGAGGGUGACCGGCCACGCUGGAACUGGGACACGGUCCAGACUCCGACGGGAGGCAGCAGUGGGGAAGAUUGCACAAUGGGGGAAAGCCUGAUGCAGCUACGCCGCGUGAGGGAUGAAGGCCUUCGGGUUGUAAACCUCUUUUAGCAGGGAAGAAGCGAAAGUGACGGUACCUGCAGAAAAAGCACCGGCUAACUACGUGCCAGCCGCCGCCGUAA